AUACUUACCUGGCAGGGGAGACAUCAGGAUCAUGAAGGUAGUUUUCCCAGGGCGAGACUGAUCAUUGCAAUGGGGACCAGCUGACCCCUGCGAUUUCCUUCAUGGGGGAAACUAAACUGCAAUAAUUUGUGUUGGUGGGGGACUGCAUCCGUGCUUCCCCCCC
RNAcentral lists this small nuclear RNA (163 nucleotides) under Dasypus novemcinctus (nine-banded armadillo). RNAcentral's name for it is "U1 spliceosomal RNA (ENSDNOG00000027732.1)". It matches the Rfam family "U1 spliceosomal RNA". From Rfam's summary of the family: U1 is a small nuclear RNA (snRNA) component of the spliceosome (involved in pre-mRNA splicing). Its 5' end forms complementary base pairs with the 5' splice junction, thus defining the 5' donor site of an intron. There are significant differences in sequence and secondary structure between metazoan and yeast U1 snRNAs, the latter being much longer (568 nucleotides as compared to 164 nucleotides in human). Lineage: Eukaryota; Metazoa; Chordata; Mammalia; Cingulata; Dasypodidae. The record is from RNAcentral.